RNAcentral lists this ribosomal RNA (434 nucleotides) under uncultured bacterium. RNAcentral's name for it is "bacterial SSU rRNA". It matches the Rfam family "Bacterial small subunit ribosomal RNA", at positions 340 to 767 of the family's 1533-position model. The record is from RNAcentral.
UACGGGAGGCAGCAGUGGGGAAUAUUGCACAAUGGGCGCAAGCCUGAUGCAGCCAUGCCGCGUGUAUGAAGAAGGCCUUCGGGUUGUAAAGUACUUUCAGUCGUGAGGAAGGUGUUAAGGUUAAUAACCUUAGCAAUUGACGUUAGCGACAGAAGAAGCACCGGCUAACUCCGUGCCAGCAGCCGCGGUAAUACGGAGGGUGCGAGCGUUAAUCGGAAUUACUGGGCGUAAAGGGCACGCAGGCGGUUAAUUAAGUUGGAUGUGAAAUCCCCGGGCUUAACCUGGGAAUGGCAUUCAAGACUGGUUAGCUAGAGUCUUGUAGAGGGGGUAGAAUUCCAUGUGUAGCGGUGAAAUGCGUAGAGAUGUGGAGGAAUACCGGUGGCGAAGGCGGCCCCGUGGACAAAGACUGACGCUCAUGUGCGAAAGCGUGGGGA